RNAcentral lists this unclassified non-coding RNA (311 nucleotides) under plant metagenome. RNAcentral's name for it is "partial contains small subunit ribosomal RNA, internal transcribed spacer 1, and 5.8S ribosomal RNA". The record is from RNAcentral.
UUUCCGUAGGUGAACCUGCGGAAGGAUCAUUAGUGAAUAAACAAGUGCAGGUUGUGCUGGCCUUCUUGGGUAUGUGCACGCCUGCCAGCUUCAUUCCAUCUUCCCACCUGUGCACUCUGUGUAGAUUCUGUAUGCUAUUGUCAAGCCUUUAUUGUGCUUGGUUGAGAGGAGUUGCUUGUUUCACCAACAAGCUCUUCUUGGGCAUGCAGGUCUAUGUUUAUAUCAACACCAUAUGAAUGUUUUAGAAUGUGCUUUAGGCUUUUUGGCCUUUAAAUUAUAUACAACUUUCAACAACGGAUCUCUUGGCUCUC